GGGUGCGUAACACGUGGGGAAUCUGCCGAGAAGUGGGGGACAGCUCGCCGAAAGGCGAAUUAAUACCGCAUGUGGUUAGUGAAGACAUCUUCAUGACACCAAAGCCGGGGCAACCUGGCGCUUCUUGAUGACCCCGCGGCCUAUCAGCUAGUUGGUGAGGUAACGGCUCACCAAGGCUAUGACGGGUAGCUGGUCUGAGAGGACGACCAGCCACACUGGAACUGAGACACGGUCCAGACACCUACGGGUGGCAGCAGUCGAGAAUUUUUCUCAAUGGGGGAAACCCUGAAGGAGCGACGCCGCGUGGAGGAUGAAGGUCUUCGGAUUGUAAACUCCUGUCAUUUGGGAACAAUUGUCACCGAUUAACUGUCGGUGGCUUGAUAGUACCAGAAGAGGAAGAGACGGCUAACUCUGUGCCAGCAGCCGCGGUAAUACAGAGGUCUCAAGCGUUGUUCGGAUUCAUUGGGCGUAAAGGGUGCGUAGGUGGCGUGGUAAGUCUGGUGUGAAAUCUCGGGGCUCAACCCCGAAACUGCACUGGAUACUGCCUUGCUUGAGUACUGGAGAGGAGAUUGGAAUUUACGGUGUAGCAGUGAAAUGCGUAGAUAUCGUAGGAAGACCAGUGGCGAAGGCGAAUCUCUGGACAGUUACUGACACUGAGGCACGAAGGCCAGGGGAGCAAACGGGAUUAGAUACCCCGGUAGUCCUGGCAGUAAACGGUGCGCGUUUGGUGUGGGAGGAUUCGACCCCUUCUGUGCCGGAGCUAACGCGUUAAACGCGCCGCCUGGGGGAGUACGGUCGCAAGAUUAAAACUCAAAGAAAUUGACGGGGGCCCGCACAAGCGGUGGAGUAUGUGGCUUAAUUCGAUGCAACGCGAAGAA
This 878-nucleotide ribosomal RNA is filed under the name uncultured bacterium. RNAcentral's name for it is "bacterial SSU rRNA". It matches the Rfam family "Bacterial small subunit ribosomal RNA", at positions 104 to 968 of the family's 1533-position model. The record is from RNAcentral.